CAGUAGCCACGGGAAUACGGAGGGGGCUAGCGUUGUUCGGAAUUACUGGGCGUAAAGCGCACGUAGGCGGCUUGGUAAGUUAGAGGUGAAAGCCCAGGGCUCAACCCUGGAAUUGCCUUUAAGACUGCCGAGCUAGUAGGUGAGAGAGGUAAGUGGAAUUCCGAGUGUAGAGGUGAAAUUCGUAGAUAUUCGGAAGAACACCAGUGGCGAAGGCGGCUUACUGGCUCAUUCUAGACGCUGAGGUGCGAAAGCGUGGGGAGCAAACAGGAUUAGAUACCCCCGUAGUCCCUGUCUCUUAUAC
RNAcentral lists this ribosomal RNA (301 nucleotides) under uncultured bacterium. RNAcentral describes it as "partial 16S ribosomal RNA". It matches the Rfam family "Bacterial small subunit ribosomal RNA", at positions 509 to 807 of the family's 1533-position model. The record is from RNAcentral.